ACCCUGUAACUCAGCCAUCAGAGUUUUAUGUAGAACUUUGAAAGGCACUUACAGGAAGC
Molecule: microRNA precursor, 59 nt
Filed under: Bos taurus (domestic cattle)
Lineage: Eukaryota; Metazoa; Chordata; Mammalia; Artiodactyla; Bovidae
Description: Bta-Mir-2367_pre stem-loop
Source: RNAcentral